RNAcentral lists this unclassified non-coding RNA (162 nucleotides) under soil metagenome. RNAcentral describes it as "partial internal transcribed spacer 1". The record is from RNAcentral.
CAUGAGUUGCUUGCCCUCACGGUAGACCUCCCUAACCAUUGUGAACGAUACCUUGUUGCUUUGGCAGGCCGGGCUGGCGGGAGGAACUGCAGGCUACCGCGUGCCUGCAGCAGAACCAACUUCUGUAUGGUCAUCGUCUGAGUUAGCUAUUAUAAUAGUCUA